GUCAAAUCAGCACGGCCCUUACGUCCGGGGCGACACACGUGUUACAAUGGGGGGUACAGCGGGUUGCUACCACGCGAGUGGAUGCUAAUCUCGAAAAGCCUCUCACAGUUCGGAUCGGAGUCUGCAACUCGACUUCGUGAAGCUGGAUUCGCUAGUAAUCGCGCAUCAGCCAUGGCGCGGUGAAUACGUUCCCGGGCCUU
Molecule: ribosomal RNA, 200 nt
Filed under: uncultured prokaryote
Description: partial 16S ribosomal RNA
Rfam family: Bacterial small subunit ribosomal RNA
Source: RNAcentral